Molecule: ribosomal RNA, 580 nt
Filed under: uncultured Actinomycetes bacterium
Lineage: Bacteria; Bacillati; Actinomycetota; Actinomycetes
Description: bacterial SSU rRNA
Rfam family: Bacterial small subunit ribosomal RNA
Source: RNAcentral
GACGAACGCUGGCGGCGUGCUUAACACAUGCAAGUCGAACGAUGAUGGGGAGCUUGCUCCUUAGAUUAGUGGCGAACGGGUGAGUAACACGUGAGUAACCUGCCCUGGACUCUGGGAUAAGCGCUGGAAACGGCGUCUAAUACCGGAUAGGACCUUUCAUCGCAUGGUGGGGGGUGGAAAGUUUUUCGGUUUGGGAUGGACUCGCGGCCUAUCAGCUUGUUGGUGAGGUAAUGGCUCACCAAGGCGGUGACGGGUAGCCGGCCUGAGAGGGUGACCGGCCACACUGGGACUGAGACACGGCCCAGACUCCUACGGGAGGCAGCAGUGGGGAAUAUUGCACAAUGGGCGGAAGCCUGAUGCAGCAACGCCGCGUGGGGGAUGACGGCCUUCGGGUUGUAAACCUCUUUUGGCAAGGAAGAAGGGCUUCGGCUUGACGGUACUUGCAGAAAAAGGACCGGCUAACUACGUGCCGGCAGCCGCGGUAAUACGUAGGGUCCGAGCGUUGUCCGGAAUUAUUGGGCGUAAAGAACUCGUAGGCGGUUUGUCGCGUCUGCUGUGAAAACUAGAGGCUCAACCUCUA